Non-coding RNA from Peromyscus maniculatus bairdii (prairie deer mouse), 2232 nucleotides. The record is from RefSeq and is a predicted model, not a curated record. Lineage: Eukaryota; Metazoa; Chordata; Mammalia; Rodentia; Cricetidae.
AGCAGUUCCACCAACUGGGAUCCAAGCAUUCAAAUAUAUGAGCCUAUGGGGGCCAUUCUUACUCAAACCACCACAGAGGGGAAGGAGGAAAACACGGAACUCGAAGAGCUGCAGUGAGCGCCCAAAGACUGUGGGAUGGAGACUCUGGACGAGCAGGCAUCUGAAGUCACCUGCAGAGGCUCAGGACACCGGGAAGCCACUUUGGUUUGGACCUUAUCCUGUUGGGGGAAGCAAGGGAGGCUGGAGGUGAGACUGAUGGCCGACAGGCCAAGAGGAAAAGAGGACCUCCACAACCUUGUUCCAUGUCCUGGCUCCAGCCUCCCCUCCAACACCAGGACAGAAUGAUGGGAAAACUGAGGCAGAGACUGGCCAGCCCACUUGUGGCAAGUCGCACUGCUGUCACUGGGAGCCAGAAAUCUGGUCUACUCCAAAUGGUGGCGCUGAAGGAGCUCCGCACAUGAGGACCGUGCUGCAGUUUUCUUCAGAUGAUUUAAAGCCUCGAGGCAGCCAUCCCAGCCCCACAAAAGCCAGGCUGAGACUGGAGUCCCCAUUGGUCCCAUAAAUAGAAACCAGAACUGAUCUGGUUGGCUUUGCUGCAGGCUGCCACCCAGCACAGCCACCUCCCAAGGAGUGCUGUGGCUUUUAGAGAGGAGGAAAAUCAGGCCAGGUGGGGAUCUUCCCACCCACAGCCUGGAGCCCUGGAAGCCUUUGCAGAAAUCCAAGGGCACAGGAGAAAGGGUCACCUCAUUAAAAGACUUAAACGAUAAACACAGGACACGCCGACAUAGCCCUUUGGAAGGGUGACUAGGAACACUGCCUUUUGCAUUGUAAACUUGUACUUGUGGAAGGACAGAAGGAGGAGCAGGAGGAGGAGUGACCAUGAGUGAGGAGGACACAGAGACAGUCAGGGACAGAGGAAAAUGGCCACGAUGGGUGCGGGCCACCCACUCAAGGAAAAGACAGAUGUGGAGGGAGACGGCCGUAAAACCAAUGGCUGUGUGCCGUGGAAGGAAGCCACCGAAGUACAUUCUCUAGGCCUCCUGCCACAGAAACUCAUUUUAGGGAAUCCCAGAAAGCCGCUUUAAAUGUACCUUUCAACCUCAUGCAGAUUUACCAGAUUCACCACUUGCCAGAAUCCCAAAAAGAAAGAGUCAAAACCUUAUCCCUGACGCAAGCCUUUCUCCCUCAAAGUACAAGUCUCUGGAUUUGAAAAAGGGUAACAAAUGCAUUUACAGGUCAUUAUGAGGCAGUGUUUCAAUUCUCGUCUCUAGCUUGGCCUGACGUAUUUUUGAACUCUCCCAGCCUCCUUGCGUUCCGUGGCAGGAGCCCAUAUUUCUCUGCGGGGGCUGGUGGGUGCUGUGCCUCAUUCUGCAAAGACGGUACAUUUCACAGGUGGGCUGGCCAGCUCUGCAGUCUUUUAGGGUGCUGUGACGGGAGACUUCAAAAGGCUGCUAGCUCUUUGAAGUUGCAGGGCAUCUUUGAACACCAAACUACGUCUGCUUCAGGGUUAUCGCAGGUUUGACCCCAAGAUAGAGGGCAGAAGAAGGUUAGCUGGGAGGGUCUGGGACCAAAUCUAUAUCUUCUCCUAUCCCCCCUUCUUCCCUUUCUCCCCUGCCCUUGCUCUCCUCUCCCUCUUCCCCUCUUCUCCUCUUGUCUCUGACAAGAUUCUCAGGGGUUCACUCUGUAGCCCAGGCUGCCUUGAACUUGUAAUUCUCCUGCCUCUUCCCUUUGAGUAUAGAGAUUGCAGAUGAAUUUCACUAUUCCUGGCUCAGAAGCAAAUCCUGAUGUGAGCAUAGGAAGCAGAACCAGAUGCCAGGAUGAGGGACAAGAUGGCAGCUAAGAGGUUUCAGUAGAUACUUAUGUCCAGUAGCCCAGAAAGAAGUCCUAUUCUGGGACAGGAAGGUCCAACCUUUGUGCCCUAUGGGACCAGCUAUGGAGUGAACUUUUUGUCUACAGGAAGAAUCCAACAUGGAACCAGAUAGUGGUUGGGUGGGCUCCAACCCUUGGGCAGUGGGGGCAAAGAGUUCUGUUCUGGGAAGGGAAGCCGGGGUGGCAGAGCACACAGUCUUGGCCAUGGGGUUGGCUCACAGGGUGGAGGGCAGACUCUUCCCUCCCAGUGUACAUUUUCUGUCCAUCACUCUCCAGGUGGGAUGCCGGUGUGUGUGUGUGUGUGUGUGUGUGUGUGUGUGUGUGUGUGUGUGUGUGUGUGUCCUUGCAUCUGAAUAAGCCCUG